GACGAACGCUGGCGGCGUGCUUAACACAUGCAAGUCGAACGGAAAGGCCCUGCUUGCAGGGUACUCGAGUGGCGAACGGGUGAGUAACACGUGGGUGAUCUGCCCUGCACUUCGGGAUAAGCCUGGGAAACUGGGUCUAAUACCGGAUAGGAGCCAUUUUUAGUGUGAUGGUUGGAAAGUUUUUUCGGUGUAGGAUGAGCUCGCGGCCUAUCAGCUUGUUGGUGGGGUAAUGGCCUACCAAGGCGGCGACGGGUAGCCGGCCUGAGAGGGUGGACGGCCACAUUGGGACUGAGAUACGGCCCAGACUCCUAAGGGAGGAAGCAGGGGGGAAUAUUGCACAAGGGGCGCAAGCCGGAUGCAGCGACGCCGCGGGGGGGAUGACGGCCUUCGGGUUGUAAACUCCUUUCGCUAGGGACGAAGCUUUUUGUGACGGUACCUAGAUAAGAAGCACCGGCUAACUACGUG
RNAcentral lists this ribosomal RNA (465 nucleotides) under uncultured bacterium. RNAcentral's name for it is "partial 16S ribosomal RNA". It matches the Rfam family "Bacterial small subunit ribosomal RNA", at positions 28 to 507 of the family's 1533-position model. The record is from RNAcentral.